GUGCGAGCGUUGUCCGGAAUUAUUGGGCGUAAAGAGCUUGUAGGCGGUUUGUCGCGUCUGCUGUGAAAAUCCGGGGCUCAACCCCGGACUUGCAGUGGGUACGGGCAGACUAGAGUGUGGUAGGGGAGACUGGAAUUCCUGGUGUAGCGGUGAAAUGCGCAGAUAUCAGGAGGAACACCGAUGGCGAAGGCAGGUCUCUGGGCCACUACUGACGCUGAGAAGCGAAAGCAUGGGGAGCGAACAGG
RNAcentral lists this ribosomal RNA (245 nucleotides) under uncultured bacterium. RNAcentral's name for it is "partial 16S ribosomal RNA". It matches the Rfam family "Bacterial small subunit ribosomal RNA", at positions 532 to 776 of the family's 1533-position model. The record is from RNAcentral.